Molecule: transfer RNA, 72 nt
Filed under: Ictidomys tridecemlineatus (thirteen-lined ground squirrel)
Lineage: Eukaryota; Metazoa; Chordata; Mammalia; Rodentia; Sciuridae
Description: Spermophilus tridecemlineatus (thirteen-lined ground squirrel) tRNA
Rfam family: tRNA
About the family: Transfer RNA (tRNA) molecules are approximately 80 nucleotides in length. Their secondary structure includes four short double-helical elements and three loops (D, anti-codon, and T loops). Further hydrogen bonds mediate the characteristic L-shaped molecular structure. tRNAs have two regions of fundamental functional importance: the anti-codon, which is responsible for specific mRNA codon recognition, and the 3' end, to which the tRNAs corresponding amino acid is attached (by aminoacyl-tRNA synthetases). tRNAs cope with the degeneracy of the genetic code in two manners: having more than one tRNA (with a specific anti-codon) for a particular amino acid; and 'wobble' base-pairing, i.e. permitting non-standard base-pairing at the 3rd anti-codon position.
Source: Rfam by way of RNAcentral
UGGGUUGUAGCUCAGUGAUAGAGCACUUGCCUAGCAUGCGUGAGGCACUGGGUUCAAUUCUCAGCACCGCAU